GCUUACGGCCAUACCACGUUGAAAGCACGCCAUCCCGUCCGAUCUGGCAAGUUAAGCAACGUU
This is a non-coding RNA of Nippostrongylus brasiliensis, 63 nucleotides long. The record is from Rfam. Lineage: Eukaryota; Metazoa; Nematoda; Chromadorea; Rhabditida; Heligmosomidae.